GGGAUUGCCUUAGUAGCGGCGAGUGAAGCGGCAAUAGCUCAAAUUUGAAAUCUGGCACCUUCGGUGUCCGAGUUGUAAUUUGAAGAAGGUAUCUUUGGUAUUGGCUCUUGUCUAUGUUCCUUGGAACAGGACGUCACAGAGGGUGAGAAUCCCGUGCGAUGAGAUGCCCAAUGCUAUGUAAAGUUCCUUCGACGAGUCGAGUUGUUUGGGAAUGCAGCUCUAAGUGGGUGGUAAAUUCCAUCUAAAGCUAAAUAUUGGCGAGAGACCGAUAGCGAACAAGUACUGUGAAGGAAAGAUGAAAAGAACUUUGAAAAGAGAGUGAAAAAGUACGUGAAAUUGUUGAAAGGGAAGGGCUUGAGAUCAGACUUGAUAUUUUCCAAAUUUUAUUGGAGCUUAUCGGGCCAGCAUCAGUUUGGAUGGUAGGAUAAUUGCGCAGGAAAGUGGCAUUGCUUCGGUAAUGUGUUAUAGCCUGUGUCGAUACUACCUGUCUAGACUGAGGACUGCGUCUUUGACUAGGAUGCUG
This 523-nucleotide ribosomal RNA is filed under the name Yamadazyma sp. CLIB 1729. RNAcentral's name for it is "eukaryotic LSU rRNA". It matches the Rfam family "Eukaryotic large subunit ribosomal RNA", at positions 71 to 628 of the family's 3401-position model. The record is from RNAcentral. Lineage: Eukaryota; Fungi; Ascomycota; Pichiomycetes; Serinales; Debaryomycetaceae.